Molecule: ribosomal RNA, 261 nt
Filed under: uncultured archaeon
Lineage: Archaea
Description: partial 16S ribosomal RNA
Rfam family: Archaeal small subunit ribosomal RNA
Source: RNAcentral
CAGCCGUAAACUAUGCGCGUUAGGUGUAUCGGUGACCACGAGUCACCGAGGUGCCGAAGGGAAACCGUGAAACGUGCCGCCUGGGAAGUACGGUCGCAAGGCUGAAACUUAAGGGAAUUGGCGGGGGAGCACCACAACGGGUGGAGCCUGCGGUUUAAUUGGACUCAACGCCGGGAAGCUCACCGGAUAAGACAGCGGAAUGAUUGCCGGGCUGAAGACUCUGCAUGACUAGCUGAGAGGAGGUGCAUGGCGUAGACGUCU